RNAcentral lists this ribosomal RNA (435 nucleotides) under uncultured bacterium. Its description in RNAcentral is "bacterial SSU rRNA". It matches the Rfam family "Bacterial small subunit ribosomal RNA", at positions 958 to 1392 of the family's 1533-position model. The record is from RNAcentral.
AACGCGAAGAACCUUACCUGGUCUUGACAUAGUAAGAACUUUCCAGAGAUGGAUUGGUGCCUUCGGGAACUUACAUACAGGUGCUGCAUGGCUGUCGUCAGCUCGUGUCGUGAGAUGUUGGGUUAAGUCCCGCAACGAGCGCAACCCUUUUCCUUAUUUGCCAGCACUUCGGGUGGGAACUUUAAGGAUACUGCCAGUGACAAACUGGAGGAAGGCGGGGACGACGUCAAGUCAUCAUGCCCCUUAUGUCUUGGGCUUCACGCAUGCUACAAUGGCCGGUACAAUGGGUUGCGAUACUGUGAGGUGGAGCUAAUCCCUAAAAGCCGGUCUCAGUUCGGAUUGGGGUCUGCAACUCGACCCCAUGAAGUCGGAGUCGCUAGUAAUCGCAGAUCAGCAACGCUGCGGUGAAUACGUUCCCGGGUCUUGUACACACCG